UACGUAGGGGGCAAGCGUUGUCCGGAUUUAUUGGGCGUAAAGAGCGUGUAGGCGGUUAGGUAGGUCCGUUGUGAAAUCGCUCGGCUCAACUGGGCGGGGUCAGCGGAUACGGUGUGGCUAGAGCAAGCUAGGGGGCAAUGGAAUUCCCGGUGUAGUGGUGGAAUGCGUAGAUAUUCGGAAGAACACCAGUGGCGAAGGCGGCUCACUGGCCCGGUACUGACGCUGAUGUGCGAAAGCGUGGGGAGCAAACAGG
This 253-nucleotide ribosomal RNA is filed under the name uncultured bacterium. Its description in RNAcentral is "partial 16S ribosomal RNA". It matches the Rfam family "Bacterial small subunit ribosomal RNA", at positions 524 to 776 of the family's 1533-position model. The record is from RNAcentral.